AUUGAACGCUGGCGGCAGGCCUAACACAUGCAAGUCGAACGGUAACAGGAAGCAGCUUGCUGCUUCGCUUACGCGUGGCGGACGUGUGAGUAAUGUCUGUGACGCUGCCUGAUGGAGGGGGAUACCUACUGGAAACGGUAGCUAAUACCGCAUAAUUUCGCAAGCCCAAAGUGGGGGACCUUCGGGCCUCUUUCCAUCGGAUUUGCCCAGAUGGGAUUAGCUUGUUGGUGGGGUAACGGCUCACCAAGGCGACGAUCCAUAGCUGGUCUGAGAGGAUGACCAGCCACACUGGAACUGAGACACGGUCCAGACUCCUACGGGAGGCAGCAGUGGGGAAUAUUGCACAAAGGGCGCAAGCCUGAUGCAGCCAUGCCGCGUGUAUGAAGAAGGCCUUCGGGUUGUAAAGUACUUUCAGCGGGGAGGAAGGGAGUAAAGUUAAUACCUUUGCUCAUUGACGUUACCCGAAGAAGAAGCACCGGCUAACUACGUG
RNAcentral lists this ribosomal RNA (490 nucleotides) under uncultured bacterium. RNAcentral's name for it is "partial 16S ribosomal RNA". It matches the Rfam family "Bacterial small subunit ribosomal RNA", at positions 30 to 507 of the family's 1533-position model. The record is from RNAcentral.